This 363-nucleotide ribosomal RNA is filed under the name uncultured Megasphaera sp. Its description in RNAcentral is "bacterial SSU rRNA". It matches the Rfam family "Bacterial small subunit ribosomal RNA", at positions 156 to 525 of the family's 1533-position model. Lineage: Bacteria; Bacillati; Bacillota; Negativicutes; Veillonellales; Veillonellaceae. The record is from RNAcentral.
AUGACGGAAAAGAAGAAAAAAGGGUGGCCUCUAUACAAAGCUAUCGCCGAAGGAGGGGUUUUGCGUCUGAUUAGCUGGUUGGAGGGGUAACGGCCCAACAAGGCGAUGAUCAGUAGCCGGUCUGAGAGGAUGAACGGCCACAUUAGGACUGAGACACGGCCCAGACUCCUACGGGAGGCAGCAGUGGGGAAUCUUCCGCAAUGGACGAAAGUCUGACGGAGCAACGCCGCGUGAGUGAAGAAGGUCUUCGGAUUGUAAAGCUCUGUUAUACGGGACGAAAAAGACGGAUGCCAACAGUAUCCGUCCGUGACGGUACCGUAAGAGAAAGCCACGGCUAACUACGUGCCAGCAGCCGCGGUAAAU